UCUGCCAUGAAUAGGUGACGCGGGAUGAAGAGGAGAGUUUCCUAUCAAGGCUGCUGUGUUUUGUUUUUGUUUUGUAGAUAUGGGGUUUCACCAUGUUGCCCAGGCUGGUCUCUAACUCCUGGGCUCAAGGGAUCCACCCGCUUUGACCUCCCAAAUUGUUGGGAUUACAGGUAUGAGCCACAGUGCCUGCCUAAGGUUGCUUUCUGUGUGAAUCAAGGAGGCAUUCAAUAAAUAGUUGUGGGAUUAAUGAAUGUCAUUUCAAGGAGGGUUAAAAGCCAUGGACACCAUCUGUAAAGGGUAUUAUAAUUUGGUUAUCCAGGAAAACAGAAAAUUUCAGCAGUUAUUUGAGAUUUCCAGAAGGGCAGGAAAUGCAAUUCAAUCCUCCCAGUGACUGAUCACUUCGCAAGAUUAAUGGAAUCAUCUCCAACACUGGUCCCUGUUCCAACAGCACAAAAAGUGAAUCAACCUUCUCACUUACUCAGCGAGGUCAGCGGAUUCCCCGUUCUAAAAGUUCAAAACUUUUCUCCAGGAAAUUUGUCCUUGACUAUUCCUUUGUGGGGCGAAAUCCUGCUUUCUGGGCUAAGACUGAAAUGUGGUAUUUGAAAGUCCGGGGACUUUUGUAGGCUUUUCAUCUGUUACUACUUCAACUUUAAAAUAAAAUAAAUGCAAAAGGCCUGAUUUUCCCUGAAAGGGUUAAUUGCCAGCCCUCUGAGCCCUCCCUCGGGGAUCGUCAACCAAUCACAAUUGAGUAUGAUGAAGUAAUGCUUAGAUUUUUAUUUCCAUUGGUUAAAGUACUUGUCCAUCAAUCCAAA
This 812-nucleotide long non-coding RNA is filed under the name Homo sapiens (human). RNAcentral's name for it is "HSALNT0371041". Lineage: Eukaryota; Metazoa; Chordata; Mammalia; Primates; Hominidae. The record is from RNAcentral.